AAGGGUAUAGCUCAGGGGUAGAGUGUGUGCCUAGCAUGCACAAGGUCCUGGGUUCAAUCCCCAGUUCCUCCA
Molecule: transfer RNA, 72 nt
Filed under: Camelus bactrianus (Bactrian camel)
Lineage: Eukaryota; Metazoa; Chordata; Mammalia; Artiodactyla; Camelidae
Also listed under: 2 other names
Rfam family: tRNA
About the family: Transfer RNA (tRNA) molecules are approximately 80 nucleotides in length. Their secondary structure includes four short double-helical elements and three loops (D, anti-codon, and T loops).
Source: Rfam by way of RNAcentral